GCGAAAGUGGCGGAACUGGCAGACGCGCUGGAUUUAGGUUCCAGUGGGCUUAGCCCCGUGCGGGUUCGAGUCCCGCCUUUCGCACCA
Molecule: transfer RNA, 87 nt
Filed under: Rhodanobacteraceae bacterium
Lineage: Bacteria; Pseudomonadati; Pseudomonadota; Gammaproteobacteria; Lysobacterales; Rhodanobacteraceae
Also listed under: 1 other name
Description: tRNA-Leu
Rfam family: tRNA
About the family: Transfer RNA (tRNA) molecules are approximately 80 nucleotides in length. Their secondary structure includes four short double-helical elements and three loops (D, anti-codon, and T loops). Further hydrogen bonds mediate the characteristic L-shaped molecular structure. tRNAs have two regions of fundamental functional importance: the anti-codon, which is responsible for specific mRNA codon recognition, and the 3' end, to which the tRNAs corresponding amino acid is attached (by aminoacyl-tRNA synthetases). tRNAs cope with the degeneracy of the genetic code in two manners: having more than one tRNA (with a specific anti-codon) for a particular amino acid; and 'wobble' base-pairing, i.e. permitting non-standard base-pairing at the 3rd anti-codon position.
Source: RNAcentral